GCCGCGAAGGCGGAGGCGCCAGAUCGACCUACAGCGCAGGCGCAACCGGAUGGCUCCUUCCGCCCGUACGGGGCAUGUGCAGACCUAGCUCUGCCCCUCUGGUCUCCUCUCCGGGUUCCCGCUGCAGACAGCUGAGCGAAAAGCUGAGCUUUCACUAGCAGAUCCACAAAGAUCACUCUGGCUGUUUCAUGAUUGGUCUGGAGGGGAAAGAGAGGCAGCAAAGAAACCAGGAGGCCAUGUAGUCAGUACAGGAGAGAAAAUGGCAGCUUGGAGUAGGGCGGCCAUGGGAGAAGGACUUGGAUGGAUUGAGACCUGAUUGUGAGCCUGAAAUGUGAGCAUGAUGCCUAGAUGUGGAACUUAGGCCCAUGAAGAUGAAAGCCACAUGUUAAGGAUGGCAGAGCUAGAAAAAUGAAGGACGCUGAAACAUCCUCAAACAUUGACUGGAAAUGAUUAUCUCCACUGUCCUUGUUAUGUCUGAAAAAUCAACCCAUUUCAUUAGCCACUGUAGUUCAAGUGUAGGCUACGUGUGGCCAAACAAAAUCUUAA
Molecule: long non-coding RNA, 546 nt
Organism: Manis javanica (Malayan pangolin)
Lineage: Eukaryota; Metazoa; Chordata; Mammalia; Pholidota; Manidae
Source: RefSeq, a predicted model, not a curated record